This 392-nucleotide long non-coding RNA is filed under the name Mytilus galloprovincialis (Mediterranean mussel). The record is from RNAcentral. Lineage: Eukaryota; Metazoa; Mollusca; Bivalvia; Mytilida; Mytilidae.
AGACAACUUUCGAGUUCGAUGCAUUUCCGUCAAAAACUCUGGUUUUAGUGAACGUCAUUUGUGUGUUUAGGGGCGUCGUCACUUCCAUUCCAAUGUUGAGCGAGUGGUUGGAAAACUAUAAUUCUAUAUUUUACGAAUUAUUCGGCAAAUUGAAUUCUCAAAAUUGACAAAUCAGCAUUGCUGUCAUUAGGGAAUUGUCAUUAAGUACCUACAGAACAACCAUUAUUUCUAGUUAAUCCUGCACAAUGACGAUCACUAAGACGCUUGAUGAACGUAAAUAGUGCAUGGAUACAGGCGACCCCCUCUUUCUGGUAAAUGACGUCAUAAAGGCGCGUAUAAUUGACGAGUUUUUUCCGGUGACGGAUGAACUCGAAAGUGGUCUAUUGGAUUAA